AAUGUACUUAAGAGUCACAGAGAAGCUAAAUCAACUGACUAUCAAGAUAAAUCAUUUUGUUCCUGAAAAUGUAAGCAUUAAUAGAAAAAUGUAAAAAGUAUCGUACUUUCUAAUAAAUUGGAAGUCUUUUCAAGUCGAUUCCUCGCGAUUUCGUUGUUUGUGGCUCGAAGUUCAAUACUCACGUUAUUCAAUAUGUUCCCUGUAUAUCUCUGAUUCUGUAACUUCGCUAAACAAGAACCUUUAAUUUUUAGUCAGCACUCGAUCGAGUGAGGUGAAAUGGGCUUAUAAGUCGUAAAUAGAAAGUAUGAAGUUGUUUUUUUACAUAAAAUUGUUCGUAGUUAAUUACAAGUUUAAUAAUGUCUCUACUACUUUUAGGUGAGAUGUAUAUAUAUGUAUAGUAUGAUUGCAAGAGUGUAUGUAUGUGUGUAUGUAUAUAUAUAUGUAUAUGCAUGUAAGUACAUGCUGUUUUCUAUGCUACGACUGAAAUGAUAGCAGUUUUAUAUCUUUUUAAUGCAACGUAAUUUCGCUGUUUAUUACCAACGACGCUUGAUCUCAAGAAAUAUCCGGAACAUGACGUAUAUAUUUUUAACAUAAGCCCCUGACACAUCAAAAAUAAGUUUUUUAUAUAUCAUCGGAAUUGUCCAAUUAUUUCUUUGAUUUUGUAACAUACAUAAGAUGAUAAAAUAAAUCACCUCUAUUUAUAAAUUACAAUUUUUACGAGCGAUAAUUUUCUUCUCGAUUAUCUGCAAUUAAAGUAGAAAUUUAAUCGAAAUAGCGUGAAAGUUUAUAAUUCAUAAAAGAAUGACUUGGAUAGCAGGUAACGAGGAGGUAAAACGACGUAGCUAAAUUAUUUGCUAAACCGAAGUUAUACAUAUUGUGUUUGGUGCGGUACAGAUAUGUCGACCUACUUUACACAUAGUUACAUAUAAUUGUCUUAUGGCUUAUUAUACACAUUAAAUUCCAUACUUACUAUUGAAUUGAUAGCUAGAUACAGAUUUCUUUUCGCACAUAUCGUAUCUUUCGAUUUAAUAAUAUCAAAAUAUCGUCGAUGUUUUGUUCACAUCAUAAGUAGUUUUCAUAUUUCAAAGUAAAUCUUAUCGAGCCAUUAUAUGAUCUCUCCCUAGUUAAAAGUUGCAUGUUUCUCAACGUGUAAGUACAAUAUUCAGUAAGUAACAUUCCUGCAUGUUAUACGGUACAAUUGACAAUGGUGGAACAUCGGGCAGCAAGUAUCAAACAUAGAAAUAUAUUUAGCAAUGUUAAUUUGAUGAGAUAUCCUCUCCAACCAAGCGACAUUUUGCUAAUCGCAUACUUGUCGUAGAUACAGACCUGACAAACGAACUUUAACUUUAACUUUAACUUUAUCGACUUUAACUGUUUACACAUCUGAUGUUAUGUGAUUCGAAAUAAUGAACCUUUAUAAUUUGACAAUAUGAAAAAUAACAUAGAAUGUUCAUAAACGGCUCGCCUCUUUGAUCUUUCACAUUUAGUAAAAAUAUAAGUGUCUAGAAUCUCAGAAAUGAAAUCUGUAAAUGGACUGGGUACGUGUAUGUAAAUUUAUAUUUUCAUGAAUACAGCUACAGAAAUAGAAUUUUUGUACAAAUAGGGAUUUGUGUUUCACUUUUGUAUGUAUUCUAUAUGUUUCUGCACAUUUAAAUUCUCCAUAUCAUAAUCAUAGUUUUAAUCAUAGCUAAUAUACUCGUAUUACGUAAGUAAGAAAUAUAUUAAUAAAUUUUCAUGUUUUAACGAAUAAAGAUACAUUAUUUAUGU
Molecule: long non-coding RNA, 1767 nt
Organism: Bombus impatiens (common eastern bumble bee)
Lineage: Eukaryota; Metazoa; Arthropoda; Insecta; Hymenoptera; Apidae
Exons: 2
Source: RefSeq, a predicted model, not a curated record